RNAcentral lists this ribosomal RNA (230 nucleotides) under uncultured bacterium. RNAcentral's name for it is "partial 16S ribosomal RNA". It matches the Rfam family "Bacterial small subunit ribosomal RNA", at positions 15 to 228 of the family's 1533-position model. The record is from RNAcentral.
GAUCAUGGCUCAGGACGAACGCUGGCGGCGUGCUUAACACAUGCAAGUCGAACGAGAAUCUGUGGAAAGAGGAUUCGUCCAAUUGAAGCAGAGGACAGUGGCGGACGGGUGAGUAACGCGUGAGGGACCUGCCUUUCAGAGGGGGACAACAGUUGGAAACGACUGCUAAUACCGCAUAACAUAUAGAUGUCGCAUGGCAUUUAUAUCAAAGAUUUAUCGCUGAAAGAUGG